AAAUUAAGCAAUAAAAAAACAUGAAAGGUUGAUAUUUGGUUAUAUUUAAACAAUUAAAAAAUUGGUGGGCAAAUAAUAUGUGUAAAAGAAAUUCAAAGGUGAAUAUCCAUUUUUUCUGCAUUUUGAAGCAUUUUUUGCUUCCAAAUUACUUCCCUUGGAUUACUCUCUAGCGUUUGGAGGUACAAUAUGUAGGCACUUGUAGUGGUAAAUAAAUAGUUUGGUGAGAAAACUUAUCAAAGCGGGUCCGGGGUGAGGAUUGGCAGUGUGGAAGAAGGAAAAAGGGCCAAGAUAUAAUACAUAAGAAGACAAGAGGAUUCACCAAAGAGGAUGAAAAGGAAAAGGAACAGGAACAUAUACACAUGUAAAUCAUGGCUAUCACAGAAUUCAAAUGAAACCUUGAAGUUAAUUUUGGAAAAGACAAUUUCAGGAAUUGGGACAGCUUAUAGAUGCAUUUCUCUUAAAGGUAGAAAAAAAUCAUCUUAAAUAUAUGAGUGGAGAUGCAACAUCAUGAAGUUCAAAGUAAAGUGCAAAGCUGAAUAUCAUAAAAUCUCCAAACAACGGUGAAGCCUUAAAAGUUGGAGAUAUGGCA
This is a long non-coding RNA of Saccostrea cuccullata (small rock oyster), 589 nucleotides long. RefSeq lists it as uncharacterized. The record is from RefSeq and is a predicted model, not a curated record. NCBI's taxonomy places the organism in Eukaryota, Metazoa, Mollusca, Bivalvia, Ostreida, Ostreidae. The transcript is spliced from 3 exons.